GACGAACGCUGGCGGCGUGCUUAACACAUGCAAGUCGAACGGAAAGGCCCUGCUUUUGUUGGUUGCUCGAGUGGCGAACGGGUGAGCAACACGUGAGUAACCUGCCCUUUACUUUGGGAUAACUUCAGGAAACUGGGGCUAAUACCGGAUAGGAGCUCCUGCUGCAUGGUGGGGGUUGGAAAGUUUCGGCGGUUGGGGAUUGACUCGCGGCUUAUCAGCUUGUUGGUGGGGUAGUGGCUUACCAAGGCAUUGACGGGUAGCCGGCCUGAGAGGGUGACCGGCCUCCCUUCUACUGAGAUACGGCUCCGCCUCCUACGGCCGGCAGCCGUGGGGCCUUUUCCACAUUGAGCGGACGCGUGUUGCGGCAUCUCCGCGUGCUUGCUGACGGCCUUCAGGUUGUGAACCGCUUUCGCCUGCGACGAAGGUUGCUUGCCGGUAAUUGGUGAAGAAGCAACGGCUAACUACGUG
RNAcentral lists this ribosomal RNA (468 nucleotides) under uncultured bacterium. RNAcentral describes it as "partial 16S ribosomal RNA". It matches the Rfam family "Bacterial small subunit ribosomal RNA", at positions 28 to 507 of the family's 1533-position model. The record is from RNAcentral.